AUUGAACGCUGGCGGCAGGCCUAACACAUGCAAGUCGAACGGUAACAGGAAGCAGCUUGCUGCUUUGCUGACGAGUGGCGGACGGGUGAGUAAUGUCUGGGAAACUGCCCGAUGGAGGGGGAUAACUACUGGAAACGGUAGCUAAUACCGCAUAACGUCGCAAGACCAAAGAGGGGGACCUUAGUGCCUCUUGCCAUCGGAUGUGCCCAGAUGGGAUUAGCUAGUAGGUGGGGUAACGGCUCACCUAGGCGACGAUCCCUAGCUGGUCUGAGAGGAUGACCAGCCACACUGGAACUGAGACACGGUCCAGACUCCUACGGGAGGCAGCAGUGGGGAAUAUUGCACAAUGGGCGCAAGCCUGAUGCAGCCAUGCCGCGUGUAUGAAGAAGGCCUUCGGGUUGUAAAGUACUUUCAGCGGGGAGGAAGGGAGUAAAGUUAAUACCUUUGCUCAUUGACGUUACCCGCAGAAGAAGCACCGGCUAACUCCGUG
This 490-nucleotide ribosomal RNA is filed under the name uncultured bacterium. RNAcentral describes it as "partial 16S ribosomal RNA". It matches the Rfam family "Bacterial small subunit ribosomal RNA", at positions 30 to 507 of the family's 1533-position model. The record is from RNAcentral.